Molecule: ribosomal RNA, 119 nt
Filed under: Salmo salar (Atlantic salmon)
Lineage: Eukaryota; Metazoa; Chordata; Actinopteri; Salmoniformes; Salmonidae
Source: RNAcentral
GCUUAAAGCCAUACCAGCCUGGGUACGCCCGAUCUCGUCUGAUCUCGGAAGCUAAGCAGGGUCGGGCCUGGUUAGUACUUGGAUGGGAGACCGCCUGGGAAUACCAGGUGCUGUAAGCA